GUUUAUUUAUUUAUUUAUUUUUGGUACCAGGAUUUAACCCAAGGGCACUUAACCACUGAGCCACAUCCCCAGCCCUUUAUUUUUUAUUUUGAGACAGGGCCUCACUAGGUUGCUUACAGACUUCUAAGUUGCUGAGGGUGGCUUUGAACCUGCAAGCCUCCUGAGCCACUGGGAUUACAGGUAUGUACCACCAUGCCUGGCUUUAGAGUUGAUUUUUGUGCAGGAUGAGAGAGAUGGAUCUAGUCUCAUUUUUCUACAAAUGGAUAUCCAGUUUUCUCAGCACUGUUUGUUAAAGAGGUUGUCUUUUCUCUAAUUGAAAGUCUACAACCCAGUGGAUGGUGAAGUGUGAGUUCUAUUAUAUAUAUAUGAGGAUCUUAGAACAUUCUUGACAUUUAAAAGAAAUUCACUGAGUCCCCAUCUCUUUCCAGGGAUUCUGAGCAUGACUGUGUAUGUGAGUCAUAUUGACAUUUUUCCAGAAGGGGCUUAUGGUACCUGCCAUAAUCUCCAUAGAUCCCCAGGCUUCCCAAAAUGAAAACACAAUUGCAUGCAAAAAAUAUCCUUACUAUAGAAACAAAAUUCCAACUAGCUAUACAAAAAUAACCCUGGUCUUCUGCCCCUUCCAAGACUCUUCAGCACAGCAAUUCUCUGGUAGCUUCUUAUGAUUCCUGAUACAUUUGUGGUUCCUGACCUUAGAGGUCUAUGGAAAUCAGCUAUGGAAUCAGCAUAGGUGUUCAUCAAUGGAUGAAUGGAUAAAGAAAAUGUAAUAUAUACAUAAUGGAGUUUAACUCAGCCAUAAAGAAAAAUGAAAUUAUAUCGUUUGCAGGAAAAUGGAUAGAACUUGAGAACAUUAUGUUAAGGGAAAUAAGCCAAAAUCAGAAGGUCAAGGGGCAUUGUGUUUUCUCUCGUAUGUUGAAGCUAGAGAAGAAGUGUGAGGGGGCAGGUCAUGAAAAUUGAAGGGAGAUCAGUAGAUUAUCUUGCAUCCAGAAGAGAGAAGUCCAAAUGGGAGGCUGAAUAGAGAGGCUUAAAUACAGGUUCAGUCUAUGUUAUGGUAUUUGCCAUUUUUUUAUAGGACCUUGGACUGCAUUUCAGUUCUCACCAAAGUCAUAAGUGCCAAAUAAGUCAUCUUGCAUCUUAGGGUGUCUUUCCAAGUAAAUUGUCUUCUCUAUCUUGUAGCUGGCAAACAGUAGAUGUCCUUUAUCAUAGGUAGGCCCAGAAUUUGAAUUGAAGACCUCUGUCCUCAACCAUGUUCAUCUUGACAAGGACAGAAUAGGAGGAAGUGUUGCCUGAUUGUUGGUCUCAGUGGAUUUCCCUGUCAUGCUACCUAGGUAGAUAAGAACAUUGCCAAAGAAAGUUCUUCAUUAUGCACAGUCAAGAGUAGCCUCAAAUUUCCAAACCAAUGGAAGUGACUGAGAAGUACAUUGAAUGGACAAUUAGAGUUUUUUUUAAAGGAAGGAAUUUUUUAAAUACCUUUAUUCUAUUUAUUCAUUUGUAUGUGGUGCUGAGGAUCGAACCCAGGGCCUCACAUGUGCUAGGCAAGCACUCUACCGCUGAGCUAUUGCCCCAGUCCGGAUAAUUAGGGUUUUUUGGUCAUAACUGCCAGGAGACUCUCAGGUCAGGUUCUGGUUGGUGUUGCUCCUAAUUUGGGGUCACAGCUGGGGUAACCAUCACUGGGCCUCAUGUCUGUUACUGUGAUGUUCAGGUCCAAGCCUCUAGUCAACAGCCUCUGUCAAUUCCACAGAAUUUUCUCUUUUUCCUUUUGCUUCCUCUCAGUCUCUUAACCUCCUGCCCUCUCUGAGGUUAAUCCGAUGACAUAGCUGUAUUGAUGGAUGACACAGAGUUAAAUUAAUGUCAUUUUCAGGUACAAUCUACAAUGUUAACCAGGGGCUACAUUGCCUGAAGUCUCAUUUUUCUCCAAGUGAGAAAUGAGUCAAUCUGCCAGAGGACACAGAAGUCAGAGAAAAAUGGCACACAUCUCUACAAAAGGGCAUUAUUUUUAUGAUAAAACACAGGCACUUUAAAAAUUCAUACCCUUAUCAUGAAGAAGAAUGUGAAGUCUGCAUGGAUAUUUGAGAUACAGCAUCACAUGCAAAUAAAAGCUGUCUUCCAGCUCUCUCUUGGGGACAGUGCUCCCAACUUCCCAGAGUGGCCCUUCUGUGCCUCUGCCACUGGAAAGCUGCAGUGGAGAAGUCUGAGAGGCUCUGCCCUCAUUUGGAGAUGAGUGAUGGUGGAAACUAAGGGACCAUGUGUGUGCAAGGAAGUGGAUUUUGGUGGGGAUUCCAUGAGGAUCUCCUCAAAUCACAUCACAGAAAGAGCUACCCUGUGGCCUGAAUCUGUCUAGGUCAGCACCUUUGAUGGUUAAGGAGUCCAGCACCUCCAGCUCUCUUGGUCUUCCUCCCUCUCCAUCCCCAGGCACUGACGUAUGGUGGUAGAGACUGGGUGGCAGCUGCCAUGUUGCCAUUUGUGCAUCCCAGCCAUGGCCCUCCUUUCUCAGGAAAAAAACUGUGGAUGACGACCAUGGUCAACUCAUGUAACCUUUCUGAGCUUUAAUUUUCCUCACCUGUAAAAUGGAGAUAAUAAUAAUACCCCAUGACUUUGUAUCAAAGACAAAAAUAAAUUAUAUGUGUGAAAACAUAUUAUAAACUACAGUGCUUCAUAAACAUGCUGGCUAUUAUCAUGCUGGGUUACACUCAGGUCUGGAUGGUUUAGCUUCUUGUUGAUUUAUGCAUUUGUUAGUUUACUUAUCCAAGGGCCCAG
Molecule: long non-coding RNA, 2754 nt
Filed under: Marmota monax (woodchuck)
Lineage: Eukaryota; Metazoa; Chordata; Mammalia; Rodentia; Sciuridae
Source: RNAcentral